This 434-nucleotide ribosomal RNA is filed under the name uncultured bacterium. RNAcentral describes it as "bacterial SSU rRNA". It matches the Rfam family "Bacterial small subunit ribosomal RNA", at positions 958 to 1392 of the family's 1533-position model. The record is from RNAcentral.
AACGCGAAGAACCUUACCUACUCUUGACAUCCAGAGAACUUAGCAGAGAUGCUUCGGUGCCUUCGGGAACUCUGAGACAGGUGCUGCAUGGCUGUCGUCAGCUCGUGUUGUGAAAUGUUGGGUUAAGUCCCGCAACGAGCGCAACCCUUAUCCUUUGUUGCCAGCGAUUAGGUCGGGAACUCAAAGGAGACUGCCAGUGAUAAACUGGAGGAAGGUGGGGAUGACGUCAAGUCAUCAUGGCCCUUACGAGUAGGGCUACACACGUGCUACAAUGGCAUAUACAAAGAGAAGCGACCUCGCGAGAGCAAGCGGACCUCAUAAAGUAUGUCGUAGUCCGGAUUGGAGUCUGCAACUCGACUCCAUGAAGUCGGAAUCGCUAGUAAUCGUGGAUCAGAAUGCCACGGUGAAUACGUUCCCGGGUCUUGUACACACCG